GCCCUCAUAGUUUAAUGGAUAAAACAAGUCCCUCCUAAGGACUAGAUUUAGGUUCGAUUCCUGAUGAGGGCA
RNAcentral lists this transfer RNA (72 nucleotides) under Candidatus Wolfebacteria bacterium. RNAcentral's name for it is "tRNA-Arg". It matches the Rfam family "tRNA". Rfam says of the family: Transfer RNA (tRNA) molecules are approximately 80 nucleotides in length. Their secondary structure includes four short double-helical elements and three loops (D, anti-codon, and T loops). Lineage: Bacteria; Candidatus Wolfeibacteriota. The record is from RNAcentral.